AGAUAUUAAAAAAAAAAAAAUCAGGUUUAUGAUUUUUCGGGACUGAUAUGCAUUCUGUAUGUUGUAAAAGUCUUGGUGUGGAGCCCACUAACUAUUCAUUACUGUUCAUUUGGCGGCUUUGAUAGAGUUUGUCUGUCACGGGUGAACAGUGAUUACUGUUCAUUUGGCGGCUUUGAUAGAGUAUGUCUGUCACGGGUGAACAGUGAUGAAUAGUGAUUAUUUCAGCCUAUAAAUAAGAAGAGUAACGGGAAGAAGAAAAAAAGAAAAAGAAAAGAGAGAAGAGAAAGCAGAGAGAAAUUCUCCUAGAGAGAAAAUUCAGUGAGCCACAUAUGUUGUAAACACUAAAGUUGUAGCCAUAUCAUUUUAUAGUGAAAGGUUACUGCUGCUGCUCUCCGAGGACGUAGGCAUAGCCGAACCUCGUUAAAAGCUGUGUCUCAUCUAUUUUACGUGCAGCUCAAUAUCCGCAUAUAUUCCAGGUUAUUUUAUAACACGUUAUCAGCACGAAAGUCUCUCCUUUUAUUUCUGAAAUUUUUUCCAACUCAACACUAUGUGGUUACUUCUCUGUCUCCUCUCUGUCAUAUGUCUACUCUCACUUUACUACUACAAUGACAUGCAAACUUUCCUUUUUGUGUUCUCACAAUUUCUCUGUUGUUUAAUCCAUGCUUGUUUAAUUCACUUCUUUGUAACGUAAUUUCUAUGUUGUUUAAUCAGUCCUGUUAUUUUAUGGUGGUGUAAUUUUUUACCUAUCGCGUUGUAAUACAAAUUAUUGUAAUAAAAUGAUGGUGUGAUCUUAAAACCCAUCUAUUAUAUCUUGAAUAGUGGCGCAGUUAUAUUGCCCGCACUAUAUAAUAUAUUAUGCACUUCAUAUUAGGUGGAGGUUUUUAUCCCCACAUUUAUUUUAUUUAUGGUAUGGUGUAGGUUUAUUACCCAUACGGCAAUAUUUAUUUAAAGGGUGGUGCGGGUUUAUCGUCCACGCCUUUACUUUUAUUUAAAUGUAUGGAGCAGAAUUAAUGCCCAUACAAGCACCUUUACUUUAUGAAAUUUACUUUAUCACAAAUUUACUUUUUCUUAAAGUAUGAUGAGGAAUUGACCCUCAUACUUUAUGAAAUUAACUUUAUGAAUUUAAUUUACCGCACAUUUAAGGUAUGGUGCGGGUUUAUCGUCCAUACCAGCAAAUUCAUAACACUUUAUUUAUCAUCAAUUAAUAUACCUGAAUAAUAAGGACCUAGAGUUCCUUAUAAUAAUGUAACAGUACCGUAUUGGUUCAUAGUGCCGUACACAUGGAUGAUAACUGUACUGGCAGAUGUACUGUACACAUGAAUAGAUACGUAUUCAUGACUUGAUGAAUAGUACUAUUCACAUGAAUAGUGACGUAUGCAUAAAUAUUAACCAUUUUGGGUAAACCGUCACUAUAUACAAAAGGGAACCUGCAAUUCCUUAAACUCAUGCAUGAGCAAUUAAAUGAGAUGCCAGAAGUUCCUCAAAAUAUGGACAAUUAUGUAAAGGCUUGAAGUCCCGAAAUAUGUACAGAAAAUUGUAAAAAUGUCCAUACCAUGAGAAUAUGUGAUUUUGGCCCGAAGUUCAAAAUCUAAGGGGAUUGAAUGUCCAUACCAUGAGAAUAUGUGAUUUUGGCCUGAAGUUCAAAAUCUAACAAUGUUGAGAACCUAAAGUUCCAACAAUUAAAUGGACAACCCUUGAGGUAUUAUUGCAAAUUGUGGUAUGCCACAUAUUUCUUUGGCAUAAGAGGAUGAUAAAUUUAAUAAAGUUCGAUUUUGUCGACACCUCAAGGAAGAAAUAUAUUUUGUGAAUUCCGGUUGUUAAGAAUACACCGCGAAAUGCAUAAUAUCAAUAUAAACCUCAAAUAAUGAAUUGAGGCUCCCCACAUAUUUUAUUAUAUCUGGGCCGGAAGCCCAUGGAUCAAAAUAUAUGAGAGAUCCUGAACUUGAAGUUGUGGGUAUAUAGUAGUUAAUGCUCUUCACUACUAUAUUGCGAUAUUAUUGUGGCUUUUACUCACUUCAUAUUUCAUGUGCAUUUGAAAAAGGGCAAAUAAAUUCUGAGUUUUGUGUUUAGCCCAAGCCAAAAGUUCCGGGCUCACAUGCAUGAAAAUAUGUAAUUUGAGAGAUUUGAUGUGGUUAUUUGAACCUAUAAGGCACAAGGUUCCAAACCGUCAUUUUGAAAAGAUGUAAAAACCACAGGUGUAAGUUUAAGAAUGUGCGCAAUUAUUAUAAUAGGAAAGGAGCAUAUAACAGAUAGAUUUUUCCACCUGCAAUGAAGGUGCAGGCCCUGUAAAAUCUAUAAAAUUACAUUAUGUUCUGGAAGCCUCUGAAGGAAGAGGACGGCGCCUCUUAAGCUUAGCCAUGAGCUUCUCGUGGUCUCCCAAAAUUCUUUCAUUGGAGACCUGCAGCAUGUCUAGCCUUCUCAGUGUAUCAACUGAGUACGAACUCACCAGUUUCAACAAGGAAUUAUUCUCUCCUUUAAGUUUCUCAACCUCCUGUUGAGACUCAUGAAGCAUUCUUUGGAGAGACGAAUUUUCAGUUGUCAGCUUCUCAACCUCGUUUGCUCUAGCACGCAAACGAUCAGCCAUGUUAGAAACAGAAGCAGCACUCUGAAUGCUAAAAGCCAUUGAGUCAUCAAUAGCCUCUUCCUCAGACCUCCCUGUUAACAGCAUUUCAUCCAUCGGAGUAAUGAAAUUCCUAGCUACUAUGAUAGCAGUAGCAUCAUUCAUCAUCACAGAAUCAUUAACUGUGAGAUGACGAUUUUGGGAUACAAAGGAUGGAGCCCAAACUUUGGCGUCACUGGUUGUUGUGGGAGCAUCAUUUAAAUUGAAAUAAUUUGGGCAGGAAUUAGAGGAAGCCAUUUUUUUUUUUUUAAGAAGGUUUCAGGAAAACUAAAGUUUCAGAAAAUGAAGAAAUUUGAGUUGAAACGCAGUUGCUCCAAUCAAGUUUUGCAAAGGCCAUAUCUAUAGGAGGAAAUAUGGCUACUGUUUUUCAGGACCCCAAUAUCUUCUCGAAUCCCCAUAUUAUCUUUUUCUUUCCCAGAGUCCAAAACUGCACGUGGCCUCUAAUAAUGCCUGUCGGCACUUUCGGCGUUUUCAAGUAUUAUUUUCAAAGCCGAUCUUGCUUUACGGAUUUCACGGAGCUACUUUUUCAAAAGCAUCCCGAGAAUCUCGCAAUUUUCUUAUGGUUAAUUUGAAAUUCACCGGUUCUACCUAUUCAUUGUAUUUGUGUAUAAAUGUGUUACUAACGAAAUUUUCUUUGCAGAAGACAUCCAGUUUACUCCAUACCUAGUGAUGCGAUAUCUACUUGUUUUUCUUAUCAGUAAGCACUCAAUAUGCCCGAGAAGCAAGACUAUCUCUGAUCAUCCAUUCAGGAAGCGAGACUAUCCCUGAUCACGUUUCCGCUGCAUUAGGAAACUGUGAAGGCGAUCUUAUGCUCUAAUCUCCGGAAGUCCUUCUAGACCAGGAGAUAUGAGAGCUUAUUGUCUGCUCCCACCAGCUUCCUUCCCUGAUUGCUUACCUUCUCUUGCAAUCAAUAUCACAUUAUUUUUGCAUUUUUUCUCUUUUUAUAACUCUCUGUUCAUAAGAGAUUUUAUUUCUUUAGAAUGAACAUCUGAAGAAUGAAUCCAUGCAGUGAUCCUAACUCUGAGAGUUAUUUGUUUUUGACAGAGAAGAGAAUUGUGAUUUUUGCUCUUGCAGGAUAUAACAAGAUCAUCAAGCAAUACUUUAUAUUUACUGGGCCGAUACGAGCUUGAAUGAUACUUGAGAAAAGUUUCUCCCACCUAAGGAUGUAAGCAAUACUUGUGUUAUUUUAUGCUUAUAUACCUAUUUGAUAUUUUAUCUUGAAAGGUAACCAAAUGGGGAGAUAAGUCCGUUCCAAAAGAAUGGCUUGUAUGUAUCCAUGAAUUAUUAACGCAAAUUUUACAGAUUGCAAGUUGGAUACAUUGAUAAUACACUGCACAGAUUAAAGUCCCAUAAGAACAAAAUAUGGGUAUAGCAGUGAUCAAUAUGAUGCACGCCUGCUGCGUAGCAAAUGAUGUGGAUUGAAGUCCCGAAAGGACAAUCCUUUGACAUGUCAAUAUUGAUAUUAUGCACGCCUAAUGCGUAGCAAAUUAUAUGGGUUAAAGUCCCAUAAAUUAAUUGACAUGUAUGUAUUAAUCUGUGGCAUGCCUGCAGCAUGACAGAUAUAUGGGUUCUAAAUGUUCCAACUCCCUAAAUGGAGAUUAUCCACGCCCUACUAUAAAAUAACGCUCCAUUGGAGGUUAUAAUCCACAUUCUCACAUAAUAAAAGCCCCCUGCAGUGGCUUGGGUACCCAAAAGCAAAGAAAUGCUUAUAAUUGAUGUAUGCGCAUGCAAAUGAGAAUGGUGGGAUCAUAAAUUGAUGAAUGACAAAUUUUUGGAGUAGUUACUCAAAUCAUCAAUGGGCUGUGUUGAUUGGGACCACGUUCAAUUAUUAAAUGUCGACAAUAUCAUUGGCCAAAAUGGAAAGAGGUAAUUCCAUUAUAGAUAAGAAUGAACGUGAAAGAACAAACCCACAGUACGAACCUCAAAUUUGUCAAUACUGAAAGUUAUACUUGGGUGUUCGGAAUAAAAGGGAAUAUACCUACUUUGUAUGACACAAUGUUUCUGGCAGCAACAAGGAAUGUUGGGUUUUCUCCAUAUUUACAGAUUCAAUUGUGCCCCCUUAUUACACAAUUACGGAGACCAACAUAUUAUCUUUAAGGGUUAUUAAAUGCACGGAGCAUAUCGCCAGAAGCGAUUUCCUAAAGAUGUAUAAAUAGCUGGGUAAAAGCUAUAUAAUGUGUCAUAAAGUUUAAUCCCUUUUAGACAAAAUCCGUUGUGAGGAUUGACAUUACAUAAAGCAAGUCCCUAAAGAACAUGUGCUUGAAGCACAAAAUUUGUACUCAAUGUUAAUAUGCAUAAAUUACCUUAGUGAGUACAUUGAUUAUAAUGUGAUUGCAACACAUUAAAACUUCUGCAGAAUUCACGAAAUAUUUAUCUCGACUUAAAAAUCGAGCAUUAUGCCAACGAGAUUCUUGCUUAUACUGAGAAAGUAUUGAAACGGUUUGGCAUGGAUAAAGCCCAUCCACUUAGCACUCCAAUGGUCGUUCGAUCGCUUGACACUAAGAAAGACCCAUAUCGUCCAAAAGGGGAUGAUGAAAUGGUCCUUGGUCCAGAAGUACUAUAUCUUAGUGCAAUAGGUGCUUUAUUGUACCUAGCACAAUGUACCAGACCAGACAUAUCAUUCUCAGUAAAUCUGUUAGCAAGGUACAGUUCUGCUCCAACAAGGCGACACUGGACCGGCAUCAAACAUGUUCUACGAUAACUUCGUGGGACAACAGACAUGGGGUUAUUCUAUUCCAGUGAAUCGACCAACGCCCAGAGUAUUAUUGGUUAUGCUGAUGCAGGAUAUCUCUCUGAUCCACAUCAAGGACGAUCACAGACUGGGUAUGUAUUUACAUGUGGAGGAACUGCGAUCUCAUGGCGCUCAACAAAACAAACAUUAGUGGCCACAUCUUCCAAUCACUCAGAAAUACUUGCCCUCCAUGAAGCCAAUCGUGAAUGCGUUUGGUUAAGAUCGGUAAUCCAUCACAUCCGAAGCACAUGUGCCCUACCCUCAACAACAGACACUCCAACAAUUCUGAAUGAGGACAAUGCAGCUUGUAUUGCUCAGAUCACAGGAGGAUAAAUCAAGGGUGACAGGACCAAACACAUAUCACCAAAGUUUUUCUAUACACAUGAGCUCCAGCAGAGUCAAGAAAUCAAAGUCAGACAAAUCCGCUCAAGUGAUAACCUGGCAGAUCUCUUCACUAAAUCAUUGCCGAAAUAUACAUUCCAAAAGUUAGUACAUGGCAUCGGAUUACGACAACUCUGCAAGCAAUCAAGUUGGAGCAUGUAAAAUGAGGGGGAGCAUUCAAGAGUCCUCUAACAUAGGACAUAUGCACGUUGUACUCUUUUUCCUUCGCUUAGAUUUUCUCACUGGGUUUUUUCCAAGCAAGGUUUUAAUGAGGCAACCAAUCUAGGGACAUGUGGUCUCCAAGGGGGAGUGUUGUAAAAGUCUUGGUGUGGAGCCCACUAACUAUUCAUUACUGUUCAUUUGGCGGCUUUGAUAGAGUUUGUCUGUCACGGGUGAACAGUGAUUACUGUUCAUUACUGUUCAUUUGGCGGCUUUGAUAGAGUUUGUCUGUCACGGGUGAACAGUGAUGAAUAGUGAUGAAUAGUGAUUAUUUCAGCCUAUAAAUAAGAAGAGUAACGGGAAGAAGAAAAAAAGAAAAAGAAAAGAGAGAAGAGAAAGCAGAGAGAAAUUCUCCUAGAGAGAAAAUUCAGUGAGCCACAUAUGUUGUAAACACUAAAGUUGUAGCCAUAUCAUUUUAUAGUGAAAGGUUACUGCUGCUGCUCUCCGAGGACGUAGGCAUAGCCGAACCUCGUUAAAAGCUGUGUCUCAUCUAUUUUACGUGCAGCUCAAUAUCCGCAUAUAUUCCAGGUUAUUUUAUAACAC
This 6494-nucleotide long non-coding RNA is filed under the name Prunus persica (peach). Its description in RNAcentral is "long non-coding RNA (PPER_LNC006310)". The record is from RNAcentral. Lineage: Eukaryota; Viridiplantae; Streptophyta; Magnoliopsida; Rosales; Rosaceae.